AGCAGCCGCGGUAAUUCCAGCUCCAAUAGCGUAUAUUAAAGUUGUUGCAGUUAAAAAGCUCGUAGUUGAAUUUCGGGGUCGGUAGGUUGGUCAUGCCUCUGGUAUGCACUGGUCUCACUGAUUCCUCCUUCCUGAUGAGCCGUAAUGCCAUUAAUUUGGUGUUGCGAGGAAUCUGGACUGUUACUUUAGAAAAAUUAGAGUGUUUAAAGCAAGCUAACGCUUGAAUACAUUAACAUGGAAUAAUGGAAUAGGACGUUCGAUCCUAUUUUGUUGGUUUCUAGGAUUGACGUAAUGAUUAAUAGGGAUAGUUGGGGGCAUUAGUAUUCAAUUGUCAGGGGUGAAAUUCUUGGAUUUAUUGAAGACUAACUACUGCGAAAGCAUUUGCCAAGGAUGUUUUCAUUAAUCAAGAACGAAAGUUAGGGGAUCGAAGACGAUCAGAUACCGUCGUAGUCUUAACCAUAAACUAUGCCGACUAGGGAUCGGAUGAUGUUAAUUUUUUAAUGACUCAUUCGGCGUCCCG
RNAcentral lists this ribosomal RNA (520 nucleotides) under uncultured Glomus. Its description in RNAcentral is "SSU rRNA". It matches the Rfam family "Eukaryotic small subunit ribosomal RNA", at positions 569 to 1090 of the family's 1831-position model. The record is from RNAcentral. Lineage: Eukaryota; Fungi; Glomeromycota; Glomeromycetes; Glomerales; Glomeraceae.